Molecule: ribosomal RNA, 253 nt
Filed under: uncultured bacterium
Lineage: Bacteria
Description: partial 16S ribosomal RNA
Rfam family: Bacterial small subunit ribosomal RNA
Source: RNAcentral
UACGUAGGCAGCGAGCGUUGUUCGGAGUUACUGGGCGUAAAGGGUGCGUAGGCGGUUUUCCAAGUUUGGUGUGAAAUCUCCCGGCUUAACUGGGAGGGUGCGCCGAAAACUAGGAGACUUGAGUACCGGAGAGGUAAGCGGAAUUCCUGGUGUAGCGGUGAAAUGCGUAGAGAUCAGGAGGAACACCUGUGGUGUAGACAGCUUACUGGACGGUCACUGACGCUGAGGCACGAAAGCGUGGGCAGCAAACAGG